Long non-coding RNA from Ziziphus jujuba (common jujube), 1206 nucleotides. RefSeq lists it as uncharacterized. The record is from RefSeq and is a predicted model, not a curated record. Lineage: Eukaryota; Viridiplantae; Streptophyta; Magnoliopsida; Rosales; Rhamnaceae. The transcript is spliced from 3 exons.
CCACUUGAAGGACUUUUAUAAUUGAGAGUCUCCUCCUGCUGGCCAGUCCAGUCCCACUGCCACCAUCUUCUUUCUAUCAACCUCCUGAGAAAAAAAUAAAAGAAAAUAAAAUAAAAAGAAGAAAAAAAAACUUUAAUUUCUUCUUCCCAUGACUUCCAUUCAGUAGCUAUAGCUGUAUCCUGUAUAUACUUUUAUAUACUUGUUCACCCCCAUUUCAUUCUUUUUCCUCCUCUAUCAGAUUUUGGAUAACUAACAGACUGAAAUUUUCUUUGUUGCCAAUCACGUUCUCAAAAUUGGAGUCAUGGAAAAGCUAGCUAAGCCCUGCUGUCUAUGUGUAUUCUUCUGCUGCGUGUUUAACAACUUCUGGGUAUAAAGCAUGUAUGUUCAAAAAGGUCUGGUUACCCUAUACGUACGGACAACUUCAAUGGCCUCAGGCUGAUGAUGGUGUCUAUUGAGCAAAAGCGCUCAAAUCUUUUAGACUCAAGGGCCAAUCUUCUUUCAUUUUUUGGUCUUGCAUCAAGUAAAAGAAUGCUGGUGUGCCAAGUUUGCAUGAAAAAGGAAACUGCUCUGCACUAAAAUCUCUUAGUUACUAUAAAUUGAGUUCAGAUUUAAGCAUAAUGGGAACAUUUUCAUAUUCAAAUAGCCAACUGUGAACUCUCUUUCAUUUGCUAUAGGCCUCGUUUAUCAAUCGGAAGAGUUUCUAGCAUUGCCCUCAGCUAACUGCAGGUACGGAACUAACAAUUCAGAACCCCAUUUUUUAGUUCAUAAACAUUCUUAAUUUCUCUUUGCUCAUUAAUCAAUAUGUCAACUUCAUAGAUUGAUUUUUAGUAUAAACAUGUUAUGAAGCUUACUGUUUUACUCCAAUUCAAUUGGUCCUUAUAAGCAAACCUUGUAUUUAAGUUGUAAAUUUUCCUUGCUGCUUUGAGUGCUUUCUCAAAUUUAACAUUUGGAAAAGAGAUCACGGAAAAAGUGAAAUCCAUUUUUAUGUAUUUGGAAGAAAACAAAAUCCCUCAAUUCCAUGAGGAUAUGAGGCCAAGGUUACAAUAAUCUUGGGAGACACAAGGGAGAGAGUUAGAUUCUAUAGACAAUUGAAACACGGGGUAAAAGGCACUACACUAGUGAAGCUCUUUCAAAUGCUUUUUUUCGUUUUUUCUUUUAUUUUUUUUUAUUUUUUUAUUUUUUUUGGUUUUGCCCCAACAUCCAAUA